GGUAAAGGACGUCAUUAUAGUCUCCUAUGCACACCCAUGGAAAGGAACUUGAAGUCCGAAUCUGUUUGAUAUCUGUCCAGACUUGCUGUCGAUGAUGGUAAAUCGAAGGCGCUUGAAGACAGGUAAGUCAUAGUUUUAGCAGUUUGAUUCUUGGUACAAAUUGUGUCGAUGAAGUUGCAAGUAGAAUGCUCAACUGUUAAAGUCACCUCCUGGUCAUUCCAAAAGAGUACUAAACCUCCAGCCAAACCUAUAGGGUUUACUACAAAAGAACUUGAGAACUUCAGCUGUCGCUUAAGAUUCUGAAUCAGCAUUGCUUGAUUUUUCGUCUCCAUCAAAAAAAUGAUAUUAGGCCUUUCGCUGGCCACUAGGGCCCUUAAUGCUUGAAUUGUCAGGGGAUUGCCCAGCCCUUGACAAUUCCAACUUAGGAUCCUCAUUUGUCAUGCGGUGGCUUUUUUAGGCAAGCCACCUCGCCCAUGUUCCAACCCCUUCAGUGGAAAAGAUGGGGGUAUCCAGGAGAGUUGAGUCAUCGAGAACGACAGUUGCAUUAGAAGAAGUCCCAUAAGGAGUAUAUCUUUUGGUUUUUUUUCAGUGGACUUGAUUUGGAGAUUGACCUUGGAGUCUUGAUUUUCUUGCAUAAAGAGUAAUUCUCUGUUUCACUGUGUGGUAACAGCAACUGGUUGAACAUCGGAGAUUUUUGUUUUAGGUCAGCAGAAGGAGAAGGCUGCUGCAUAGUUGAUGAAUGUUCUGCUUUAUUUGCCCCUGUUUCUGAAUGCUGAUUAAGAAGCUGAGGGGCUGGAAGGAGUAAAGGAGC
RNAcentral lists this long non-coding RNA (811 nucleotides) under Eucalyptus grandis. Its description in RNAcentral is "long non-coding RNA (EGRA_LNC007668)". The record is from RNAcentral. Lineage: Eukaryota; Viridiplantae; Streptophyta; Magnoliopsida; Myrtales; Myrtaceae.